RNAcentral lists this ribosomal RNA (314 nucleotides) under uncultured archaeon. RNAcentral describes it as "bacterial SSU rRNA". It matches the Rfam family "Archaeal small subunit ribosomal RNA", at positions 1030 to 1343 of the family's 1478-position model. The record is from RNAcentral.
UUAGUCAGGCAACGAGCGAGACCCACGUCCACAGUUGCCAGCAUAUUCUCCGGAAUGAUGGGUACACUGUGGAGACCGCCGCUGCUAAAGCGGAGGAAGGAGUGGGCAACGGUAGGUCAGUAUGCCCCGAAUCUCCCGGGCUACACGCGGGCUACAAUGGGCAGGACAAUGGGCCCCGACACCGAAAGGUGAAGGUAAUCUCUUAAACCUGUUCUAAGUUCGGAUUGUGGGCUGCAACUCGCCCACAUGAAGCUGGAAUCCGUAGUAAUCGCGUUUCAAAAUAGCGCGGUGAAUGCGUCCCUGCUCCUUGCACA